Molecule: ribosomal RNA, 800 nt
Filed under: uncultured bacterium
Lineage: Bacteria
Description: bacterial SSU rRNA
Rfam family: Bacterial small subunit ribosomal RNA
Source: RNAcentral
GAGUUUGAUCCUGGCUCAGGACGAACGCUGGCGGCGUGCUUAACACAUGCAAGUCGAGCGGUAAGGCCCUUUCGGGGGUACACGAGCGGCGAACGGGUGAGUAACACGUGGGUAACCUGCCCUCAGCUCUGGGAUAAGCCCGGGAAACUGGGUCUAAUACCGGAUAUGACUCCGCAUCGCAUGGUGUGGGGUGGAAAGCCUUGUGCGGCUGAGGAUGGGCCCGCGGCCUAUCAGCUUGUUGGUGGGGUAGUGGCCUACCAAGGCGACGACGGGUAGCCGGCCUGAGAGGGCGACCGGCCACACUGGGACUGAGACACGGCCCAGACUCCUACGGGAGGCAGCAGUGGGGAAUAUUGCGCAAUGGGCGAAAGCCUGACGCAGCGACGCCGCGUGAGGGAUGACGGCCUUCGGGUUGUAAACCUCUUUCAGCUCCGACGAAGCCUUCGGGUGACGGUAGGGGCAGAAGAAGCACCGGCCAACUACGUGCCAGCAGCCGCGGUAAUACGUAGGGUGCAAGCGUUGUCCGGAAUUAUUGGGCGUAAAGAGCUCGUAGGCGGUUUGUCGCGUCGACUGUGAAAACUCAGGGGCUCAACUCCGGGCUUGCAGUUGAUACGGGCAGACUAGAGUUCGGCAGGGGAGACUGGAAUUCCUGGUGUAGCGGUGAAAUGCGCAGAUAUCAGGAGGAACACCGGUGGCGAAGGCGGGUCUCUGGGCCGAUACUGACGCUGAGGAGCGAAAGCGUGGGGAGCGAACAGGAUUAGAUACCCUGGUUAGUCCACGCCGUAACGUUGGGCGCUAGG